This 2154-nucleotide long non-coding RNA is filed under the name Homo sapiens (human). RNAcentral's name for it is "non-protein coding OLMALINC:15". The record is from RNAcentral. Lineage: Eukaryota; Metazoa; Chordata; Mammalia; Primates; Hominidae.
CGGGGAGUCGGCCUCGGGGCUCUGCUCUCCUACCUCAGUCUGCCCUACCCUGGAAUGGGGAAAAUGCGGACAUGCCACUCAGUCCGGCCGCGAACAGUGCUCCAGAACUCAGAGAGUUUUCCAGACGGGUGGAGAUCGCGUUCCCUGCCCGCCGAGGUCCCAUCGCUUCCCUGCUGGGAAGACAAAUGAGGCGCUUUAGCCGUCUCCACGGCCAGCCCCUCCCUCAUAACCCGAGAUUCUUUGUGGGCUCUUAGUCCAUAGCUGCCUUUGAGGUGGUGUAGACCUUGCUAACCAGGACGGCCCAGUAGGCAGAGCUCAUUUUUAUUCCUGUCUGCAAUCGUGCAAAAACGCCUCUUAUGGAAAAGCCAGAGCGCCAGGAGUCAGCAAAACACACUAAAGAUUGGGCAGUCACUGGGGAGAACGUGAGUAAAAGCACAGGAACAGCAAAGCGUUCAGGAACGUUCGAGGCUGACGCAACCGGCGCAGGAAGGUGGUGUGUGGUGGGAGAGUGGGAGGAGACAGUGGAAAGUUUAGACUUGCUUCUGUAAGUGAUAAGAAGUCAUCAGAUAUUUUCAAGCAGGAGAGGAAAAUAAUCUCUCUGUUUCGCAAAGUUAACUCUCAUGGCAACAGAGCAGAGUAGCGGGGGGAUGGGGGCUGGGAGAUGUUGGGAAGCUAUUGUUACCACUCUGGUGAAGAGUCAUGGGACCUCAAAAGCUGGGAUAGUCACGGUGGGAAUGGAAAGGAAGGGCACAAGCUGAGAGGCAUUUGGGAGGAGAAUCAAUAGCACUUUAUUGACUGGAUGUGUGAGAUGAGUGAGGACAGCAAUCAGAAGAGGACUUUGAGGUUUCUAGCCUGAGUGGCUGGAAGGACACCACUUCCCCUACCUGAAAUAGGUAGCAAAAAGGAGAGAGAAAGAGAGAAGCAGAGGGAUUUUGCAAAGGGAAUAGGAGUUCAGUUUUUGACAUGUGGCAUUUGAAUUGCAAGAAGUACAUCCCUGUGGAUGUAAUACCCAGUAGACAGUUGGGAAUUAGGAUCUGGUGUCGAGAAGAAAAGUAGAGAUGAGAUCCAAAGGGUUUAUAGUGGAUCGGGAGAGAAAUUGAUGACCUAAAGAGAAAUUAUAGAAUAAGAAGAUUUGGGCAGGGCACGGUGGCUCAUGCCUGUAAUCCCAGCAUUUUGGGAGACCAAGGUAGGAGGAUUGCUUGAGCCCAGGAGUUUGAGACCAGCCUGGGCAACAUGGUGAGACCCCGACUCUACAAAAACUGCAAAAAUUAGCCGGGUGUGGUGACACAUACCUGUAAUUCCAGCUACUUGGGAGGCUGAGGUGGGGGGAUCACCUGAGCCUGGGGAGGUCUAGGCUGCAGUGAGCUGAGAUAGUGCCACUGCACUCCAACCUGGGCAACAUAGCAAGAGCAAGACCCUGUCUCAAAAGUAAAAAAAAAAAAAGAAGAUUCAAGUACAGAAUCUUGGGAAGGUAGAAAGAGGACACAGAGGCCAGGUGUGGUGGCUCAUGCCUGUGAUCCCAGCACUUUGGACGCUGAGGUGGGUGGAUCAUCUGAGGUCAGGAGUUCAAGACCAGCCUAGCCAACAUGGUGAAACCCUGUUUCUAUUAAAAAUUAUCCAGGCAUGGUGGCGGGCGCCUGUUAAUUCCAGCUUCUCGAGAGGCUGAGGUAGGAGAAUGGCUUGAACAUAGGAGGCAGAGGUUGCAGUGAGCUGAGAUUGUGCCACUACACUCCAGCCUGGGCAACAGAGUGAGACUCUGUCUCAAAAAAAAAAAAAAAAAAAAAGAGGACACAGAGCUAGCAAAACAGACAAAGAAGUAUCAGAAAGAUAUGAAAAAUUAAAAAAAAGCAAACUACGAUACUGUAAUAGAAAUAAGAAAAUAAUUCCAGGAAGAGGAAGCAGGACAUUGUUUAUGUAUGUACAAAACAGUAAGACAUUGGUUAAAUAAAUUAUAAAGCAUUCAUUUGAUAGAAUACAGCCAUUAAAAUUAUGUUGCAAAACUAUAUAAUUGCCAUAAAGAGAUGUUCAAUGCAUCUUUUUUCCCCCAGUGCAUCUUAGAAACACUCAGGUUAAAAAAUAGUAUAUAUGCUGGGCACGGUGGCUCACGUCUGUAAUCCUAGCACUUUGGGAGGCUGAGGCAGGUGGAUCACGAGG